Molecule: ribosomal RNA, 449 nt
Filed under: uncultured bacterium
Lineage: Bacteria
Description: partial 16S ribosomal RNA
Rfam family: Bacterial small subunit ribosomal RNA
Source: RNAcentral
AGCGAACGCCGGCGGCAGGCCUAACACAUGCAAGUCGAGCUCCGUAGCAAUACGGAGCGGCAGACGGGAGAGUAACACGUGGGAACGUGCCCUUUGGUUAGGAACAACCCCGGGAAACUUGGGCUAAUACCGGAUAAGCCCUUACGGGGAAAGCUUUAUCGCCGAAGGCUCGGCCAGCGUCUGAUUAGCUAGUUGGUGGGGUAAUAGGCCACCAAGGAGACGAUAAGUAGCUGGUCUGAGAGGAUGAUCAGCCUCACUGGGACUGAGACACGGCCCAGACUCCUACGGGAGUCAGCAGUGGGGAGUAUUGGACAAUGGGCGCAAGCCUGAUCCAGCCAUGCCGCGUGGGUGAUGAAGGCCCUAGGGUUGUAAAGCCCUUUCGGCGGGGAAGAUAAUGACGGUACCCGCAGAAGAAGCCCCGGCUAACUUCGUGCCAGCCGCCGCCGUAA